Perca flavescens (yellow perch) is the source of this 670-nucleotide long non-coding RNA. RefSeq lists it as uncharacterized. The record is from RefSeq and is a predicted model, not a curated record. The transcript has 4 exons. Lineage: Eukaryota; Metazoa; Chordata; Actinopteri; Perciformes; Percidae.
UCCAGCUUCAGGCCCUUGAUGCUAUCCACGUAUCCACUGGCAACGUCGACGACGUUGUCAUAGUAGGACCUUAUGGUGCCUGUGAUCUUGGUCAGGGUCCCCUGCUCCUCCUCAGCCUGCCUCGGCAUACGGAAGCUUUCAGUGCCUGCACAAGACAGCUGGGCCCAUACUGCAACAUGUACUACAGAGGAUUAUUAUAGAUUAUUUCUGUGUUUGACACAAAGCCUGGUGAAACCUUAAGAAAUUAUGAGUUCACCAUCAAGUGAGCUUUUGACAUCAGAGGCCCAGUCAAAGUAGCUGUCAGUCACUGGUUGGAUGUGAUCUUCAUAGUAGGUACCAAUAAAGCCCCUCAGAUGGUUGACUGUAGCUGUUGCUUCCCUAUGAGAUGCACAAGUACACAGAUGAGUAAAAAGCCUCUGCAGUAUUCCUGGAGAGUCGGGUUGUAUCGGGGCCGGUGUCUGGGCCAAAAGUGGUUCACAUGCUGCAGAGGAGGAUGUUUGUCAGUCACUAGCUCAGAAAUAAAGGAAGUGCAACUGAAGAUGUAAUAAUUCUUUUUAAAGGCAUACCUUGCAUCAGUAAGAUGAGACCGAAAAGAAGUUCUUUCAUAUGCAUCUGCCAUGAGAAACACAACUGUCAGCAGUUUGUUAUAUUAUUUUAAAAUGCUAAAAUU